RNAcentral lists this ribosomal RNA (498 nucleotides) under uncultured bacterium. RNAcentral describes it as "partial 16S ribosomal RNA". It matches the Rfam family "Bacterial small subunit ribosomal RNA", at positions 28 to 507 of the family's 1533-position model. The record is from RNAcentral.
GAUGAACGCUGGCGGCGUGCCUAAUACAUGCAAGUCGAGCGAACUUUUGGGAGCUUGCUCCCAAAAUUUAGCGGCGGACGGGUGAGUAACACGUGGGUAACCUGCCUGUAAGACUGGGAUAACUUCGGGAAACCGGAGCUAAUACCGGAUAACAUUUACUGCCACAUGGCCUUCAAUUAAAAGGUUGCUUUUAGCUACCACUUACAGAUGGACCCGCGGCGCAUUAGCUAGUUGGUGAGGUAACGGCGCACCAAGGCGACGAUGCGUAGCCGAUCUGAGAGGGUGAGCGGCCACACUGGGACUGAGACACGGCCCAGACUGCUACGGGAGGCAGCAGGAGGGAAUCGUCCGCAAGGGACGAAAGUCUGACGGAGCAACGCCGAGUGAGCGAAGAAGGACUUCGGGUCGUAAAGCUCUGUUGUUAGGGAAGAACAAGUAUCGUUCGAAUAGGGCGGUACCGUGACGGUACCUAACCAGAAAGCCACGGCUAACUACGUG